This is a long non-coding RNA of Equus quagga, 1775 nucleotides long. RefSeq lists it as uncharacterized. NCBI's taxonomy places the organism in Eukaryota, Metazoa, Chordata, Mammalia, Perissodactyla, Equidae. The transcript has 4 exons. The record is from RefSeq and is a predicted model, not a curated record.
GAGGAGUGAGGGCAUCCCCUGUGGUCCACUAGUGCUGCUCGAUGUUUUGUGAUAAUAUCUAUUGAGGUUUCCAGGCUGCCUCUUGGUCCUGAAGAAUCGGCAUUGCUUGGGCAGAAUGUCGGAGGGUGAAGAGCCUGGUACCCGGUGCAGAGGUGCACGGGCUGCAGUUAGCUGGGUCCACUCCAGCUCUGAGCCACGUAAGGUAAGGAAACUGAGGCUAGUGAGGGCCAACCGUGGAAGAACUGUGGGUGUGAUACGGCGAAGCUGGGCCCACCACAAUGGUGGAAACAUAGAGGACAGCAUGCAGUGGGAAGGAGCUUCCAUUUCUACGCUUCUGCAUGAGGAGGAGGGAAGGCACCUGGAGGAGAGCCUUGAAGCUGAGAUUGAAGGAUGCCGGUCUUCUGCCGGGUGAGGAAAGGUGGAAGGAGGACCCAGGCCAUGGAGGGGCGUGUGCCAGAGGGAUGUGCAGGUCUGGUGCGUCUGAGGCAAGCCGUUCGCUGUUGCUGAGCUUAUUAUAUAAGAGGAGUGUGUGGCCGGACAGGCAGGCAAACUGCCUUCAAAGGUCAUCUGAUUUUUCCCCAAAGAAGCCACUGAGGAAUUUCGAGCAGGAACACAGGAUGGUAAGAGCUUCUUUAUAUGAAAUACUACGUAACACAAUCUUAUAGUGUCGGAGAAGGUAAAUCCGCUGCACGAAAGAACAUAUACACACACACAGGAUAGGAUGGCGGACAUUAUGCGCAUUUUAAAAUUGAGGACACUCAAGUUCAAAAACUUCAGGCAGUGAGCGCCUGCGGCAAGUGGCCGUCCUGGAAGAGAAAGAACCCAGCUGGUGUCCCACAAGUAACCUAUAAUCGCGAGACUCCCAUUUCUCCUUGGAAAGAGAACGUGAUUUUAAUCCGCAGGGAGGGCGUGCCCCUCCCACCCUGUACCUUCUGUCCUAUUGCAAAUUGCGCUCUGUGUGUUCCCCCUUUACCCCGCUGUUCUUCCAGGGCCACGGUUCCUCAGCUUUUGACCUGACUUCUCACUCCCAGAUCUGGCCGCAAUCAAAUAUUAAGGACAAUGUCUGCCAGCCUUUUCGCUGCUUGGGCACACACCAUUGCUGACAUCAAAAACUGCUCCAGCUGCUGGGUAUGCAGCGAGCUGCCUCUCUUCAACCACGGGGCGACCAUGGCGUCUCCAAGCUGCCAACACCUCUGAUGGAAGGGCCCUACAAGAGUGGAGGAACGCUGCCCACUUUCCUAUUUCUACGCCCCUCCACCUGGUGACAUGUUUUCUUUGGUGUCCUUGCCUUUUUACUACUUUUAUUUUCAUAUUGUGCUCUCUGUUGCUGUUGUGGUCUCAAGCUACAAUGCUCUUCCCAUGUCUAGCUCGAGGGAAACCGUGGAAGACUGGCGUAAUGAUAUCGUAAGGGCCGUUCCAACACGUGGGGGGUGGAGUGUAGGGGCAUUAGCUAGGGUGCCCCUUUAAAAACCAUGUGUCCUUGAGGCUCCUGUCUGGGCUAUGUGCCAGCUCUCAUGAUGAUAACGGUCCUGGGCUUGGCCAACCCAACUGGUUUCUCAUGGGAGAGUUAGCACCAAGACCCUCUCAGUGUGAGGGAACACAGGGGCCCUCCGGGGGGCUCUGGUCCUUGGAAUGCAGGUCAUACAGGGAUGAUCCCCCUUGGCAGGCAUUCAGCCUUUGUUCCUCUGUCUACUUAAGCAAGCUUCUCUCAGGGGAGGCAGCGGGUGCACCUCACCAUCUAGCUGGCCACCACUGGACCUUCCUUGUAAGUAACU